UUGUUUGUAACAUUUGUUUAUUUUAAUUCUAUCCUUGUCUGUUAUCUUUCAGAUGUUAAUGAACAAUCUGCUAAUUCCUGAUAUGCUUACUGAAUUUUCUUUCGUAAAGAGUUGGAUUUUCCAUCAUUUGGAGAAUAACAGAGGAUUCUGACUCCUCGUUCUUGUACAGUUUGGUCAAUAUGAACUUGUAGCAGUGAUGCUUGAUUACAUGCACAUGUGUUUCUGUAAAAUACUUUCCUGAUAAAAGUUACUUCAAAAAUGUUUCAGCAUAAGGUAUGAUAUCUUUAAGAUACCCUGAUAUCCAAUAGUUAAUAGCGGUACGACUCUAUGAAGAAGUGUAAUUC
This 344-nucleotide long non-coding RNA is filed under the name Struthio camelus australis. RNAcentral's name for it is "lncRNA (ENSSCUG00000007390.1)". Lineage: Eukaryota; Metazoa; Chordata; Aves; Struthioniformes; Struthionidae. The record is from RNAcentral.